Ostrinia nubilalis (European corn borer) is the source of this 379-nucleotide long non-coding RNA. RefSeq lists it as uncharacterized. The transcript has 3 exons. NCBI's taxonomy places the organism in Eukaryota, Metazoa, Arthropoda, Insecta, Lepidoptera, Crambidae. The record is from RefSeq and is a predicted model, not a curated record.
GUCAAAAGCCUGUCAUGUUAAUAUUUUGCAAACACGAAAAGUUUAUUUGUUUUGUUUUGAUAACUGCAGGAUUCUGAUAAAAUAGCUCACAAUGGGGUGUAUGCUGCGCAGUGACUUGAUGACGCUGUGUGAUAUGUAUCUCCAACGAGAGGCCGGCUUUGAGACUCUCUCGCAACUUGGCGAGAUGGGCUGUGUCCAGUUUUUGGAUUUAAAUGCAGAUGUGCAGCCCUUCCAAAAACAAUACGUAGCGGACUUGUGUCGAUGCGCGGAAAUGGAGCGCAAACUGCGCUACAUGGAAUCUGAAAUGAUUAAAGAUAACAUAGAAGUUGUUAGACAUGACAAAGAACCUCGAGCCUUGCACCCGAAUGAAAUGCUACAC